This 635-nucleotide ribosomal RNA is filed under the name uncultured fungus. Its description in RNAcentral is "eukaryotic LSU rRNA". It matches the Rfam family "Eukaryotic large subunit ribosomal RNA", at positions 24 to 664 of the family's 3401-position model. The record is from RNAcentral. Lineage: Eukaryota; Fungi.
CCCGCUGAACUUAAGCAUAUCAAUAAGGCGAGGAACAGAAACCAACUGGGAUUCCCUCAGUAGUGGCGAAUGAAGCGGGAAAAGCUCAAGUUUGAAAUCCGGCGGCCUCGGCAUCCGGAGUUGUAAGCUGAAGAGGCGUCGACCGACGUGGGCCGGGCUCCAAUUCCCUUGGAACAGGGGGUCAUAGAGGGUGAGAACCCCGUCUGUGGCUCGGACCCCAUCGUCUUCAGUGUCGUGCCCUCGUAGAGUCGGGUUGUUUGGGAAUGCAGCUCAAAAUGGGUGGUAAAUCUCAUCUAAAGCUAAAUAUUGGCGAGAGACCGAUAGCGAACAAGUAGAGUGAUCGAAAGAUGAAAAGUACUUUGAAAAGAGAGUGAAACAGUACGUGAAAUUGUUGAAAGGGAAGCGUUUGGCAUCAGCCCAUGGCCCCCGACGAUCACCUUGACCCUAGGUCGAGUGCACUCGUCGGUGGUUGGGCCAGCGUCGGCUCCGUCCGCCGGAGAAAGGCUCGGGGGAUGUGGCUCCUUCACGGGAGCGUUAUAAACCCGGGCGUCAUACGGUGUGAUGGGGCCGAGGUCUGCGGUCUCGUACCUAGGACGCUGGCGUAAUGGUUCCAAGCGACCCGUCUUGAAACACGG